AGAAUAAUAGUUUAAAAAAAAUUUUUAAUUUGCAUUUAAAAGAUAAAUAAUUUUUUAUUUUA
Molecule: transfer RNA, 62 nt
Filed under: Eumacrocentrus sp. QL-2013
Lineage: Eukaryota; Metazoa; Arthropoda; Insecta; Hymenoptera; Braconidae
Description: tRNA-Ala
Source: RNAcentral